RNAcentral lists this ribosomal RNA (459 nucleotides) under uncultured bacterium. RNAcentral describes it as "SSU rRNA". It matches the Rfam family "Bacterial small subunit ribosomal RNA", at positions 26 to 518 of the family's 1533-position model. The record is from RNAcentral.
AGAAUCAACGCUGGCGGCGUGCCUAACACAUGCAAGUCGAACGGGAAAGUGGAGCAAUCCAUGAGUAUAGUGGCGACCGGGUGAGUAACACGUGACUACCUACCCUUGAGUGGGGGAUAACCUCGGGAAACCGAGGCUAAUACCGCAUAAUAUCGAAAGAUCAAAGGAGUAAUCCGCUUUUGGAGGGGGUCGCGGCUGAUUAGCUAGUUGGUAAGGUAAUGGCUUACCAAGGCGAAGAUCGGUAUCCGGCCUGAGAGGGCGCACGGACACACUGGAACUGAAACACGGUCCAGACUCCUACGGGAGGCAGCAGUGGGGAAUUUUGCGCAAUGGGGGAAACCCUGACGCAGCAACGCCGCGUGGAGGAUGAAGCCCCUUGGGGUGUAAACUCCUUUCGACUGGGAAGAUUAUGACGGUACCAGUGGAAGAAGCACCGGCUAACUCUGUGCCAGCAGCCGC